Molecule: long non-coding RNA, 1550 nt
Organism: Gymnodraco acuticeps
Lineage: Eukaryota; Metazoa; Chordata; Actinopteri; Perciformes; Bathydraconidae
Exons: 4
Source: RefSeq, a predicted model, not a curated record
UGUAGCCCCGCUUCACUUCCGGGGUUGUCUCCGCGACUGUUUACAUCCUCGUUGGGGGAAUCUAGUCCAGAUUUCCACACUUUAUUCUUAUUAUAAUAAACAUUAAACCAUAAAACAUGUCCCCUGCCGCGUCCCUGCACGCGCAGCUCGCCUCCAUCAUGGAGGUCCUCGCGAACACGGCGGUGGCGGAGAUCUGUGAGCUCGUGGACAGCGGGCUCGCGGUGCUACAGCUCGAGGUCUCGCGGAGCCGCAAAGAGAACGAGGCGCUGCGCAGAAAGCUGCGGCUCGUGGAGAUCCGAGCGGUCCGGGUCACCGCAAGCGGAAGAACCACCGCAAGCGGCACCGCGCUGAGAACCACCGCAGCCGGCAGCAACCACUGCAGGCGGAACGACGCUGAGAACCACCGCUAGCGGCACCGCGUUGCCCCUAUCUAACGGCCGCGCUGCCGCUCAGUUUGCCGCUCAUCAUCAGCCUGGAAACGGCGGAGGACCGGAAAAACUGGUGGUGAGGCGGUGCGAUGUGGAGACCCCUCUGAACACGAUGCUACACGGGGGACGCAGGCUGUAGGAGAAUCCAUCAAAGUGGAGGACGACGAGUUAUGUUCCCAAACUGAGCCGUACCGUGUUGACAGACACACAGAGAAGGAAGCCCCGCCCCCUCCGACCAAACAGGAAGUAGCGAAGGAAGUUGUCAGCACUUCCUGCCAGAGGUCAGAGGCCAGCGGAGGGUCUGACUGCCUGAUAUUCGAACCACAGCUCCAACACCCCCCGCUCUACCCACAAUCCUUUGGGGGAGGAUCCCAGCUGCUCGUACGCCAGCAACAGCGUUUCCGCGACGUCGGAUUCUAACAGUUUUCAUAUAGUUACUGACGAAGGAAACGGCCAGCAAGGGAAACAGUUCUUCUGCACUUUCUGUGGGAAGACUAUGUCCUGCCUGAAGAACCUGAAGACUCACCUGAGGGUCCACACAGGUGAGGGGGUUGUCGUAGCAACUUAAAAUCAGCUGCUGUCUAGAGAAAAUGAUGAGCAAAUAUGCAAAGAAACACAAUAUCGAUAUAAGUAUUUCAAGAUAUUUCUUUUAAUGCUUGCAAGCAUGACGACUCCUCCUGAGAGCCUCUUGUGUGUGACGGACUCUUUUAUAGAGAAGACAAAAGCUCAGUUACAUUUCAAACAAUAACAUUUGAGCCAAGGUCGAUCACAAUAAGCAAAACUAGUUGGGUAUCGCAGCUAUCCUCCUUAGAGCAAACUUCUUCCUUUCCUGUAUGUCAUAACACCCUUUGUGACACAUCUGAUCACACGAACGUUUAUAAGCCAUUCCCAGGAUACCACUUUGUUAACAGUUACAUUUCAUUAGGAUUACACUGUGUUCAAACUUUAAAGGUCCCCUAUCAUACUGUUCUUCAUCAGUAUAUCACAGGUCUCAGAUAUAUACGAGCCUGUCUCUGAUUGGCUGAAACACCAGACAUAUCAUUGCAGCAAUACCCAUAAUCCCCUCUGUUUCAGCCCUGUUUCCAAAGUGCUGAUUCUGUAGCUUUAAAUGCUAAUGAGCUG